CCAGACUCCUACGGGAGGCAGCGGUGGGGAAUAUUGCACAAUGGGGGGAACCCUGAUGCAGCGACGCCGCGUGGGUGAAGGAGCACCUCGGUGCGUAAAGCCCUAUCGGCAGGGAAGAAGCAAGACGGUACCUGACUAAGAAGCCCCGGCUAACUACGUGCCAGCAGCCGCGGUAAUACGUAGGGGGCGAGCGUUAUCCGGAUUUACUGGGUGUAAAGGGAGCGUAGACGGCAGCGCAAGUCUGAAGUGAAAUGCCGGGGCUUAACCCCGGAACUGCUUUGGAAACUGAGCAGCUAGAGUGCAGGAGAGGUAAGUGGAAUUCCUAGUGUGGCGGUGAAAUGCGUAGAUAUUAGGGGGAACACCAGUGGCGAAGGCGACUUUCUGGACUGUAACUGACGCUGAGGCACGAAAGUGUGGGGAGCAAACAGGAUUAGAUACCCCAGUACC
RNAcentral lists this ribosomal RNA (447 nucleotides) under uncultured bacterium. Its description in RNAcentral is "partial 16S ribosomal RNA". It matches the Rfam family "Bacterial small subunit ribosomal RNA", at positions 331 to 794 of the family's 1533-position model. The record is from RNAcentral.